UGAAGCUGGAUUCGCUAGUAAUCGCGCAUCAGCCACGGCGCGGUGAAUACGUUCCCGGGCCUUGUACACACCGCCCGUCAAGCCAUGGGAGCCGGGGGUACCUGAAGUACGUAACCGCAAGGAGCGUCCUAGGGUAAAACUGGUGACUGGGGCUAAGUCGUAACAAGGUACC
This 172-nucleotide ribosomal RNA is filed under the name uncultured bacterium. Its description in RNAcentral is "partial 16S ribosomal RNA". It matches the Rfam family "Bacterial small subunit ribosomal RNA", at positions 1321 to 1500 of the family's 1533-position model. The record is from RNAcentral.